GCCGGUGUGGUGGAAUGGUAGACACGGCGGACUUAAAAUCCUCUGGGGAUUUCUCCGUACCGGUUCGAGUCCGGUCACCGGCACCA
RNAcentral lists this transfer RNA (86 nucleotides) under Bacillota bacterium. RNAcentral describes it as "tRNA-Leu". It matches the Rfam family "tRNA". From Rfam's summary of the family: Transfer RNA (tRNA) molecules are approximately 80 nucleotides in length. Their secondary structure includes four short double-helical elements and three loops (D, anti-codon, and T loops). Lineage: Bacteria; Bacillati; Bacillota. The record is from RNAcentral.